RNAcentral lists this long non-coding RNA (4952 nucleotides) under Homo sapiens (human). RNAcentral describes it as "HSALNT0142306". The record is from RNAcentral. Lineage: Eukaryota; Metazoa; Chordata; Mammalia; Primates; Hominidae.
UAAUGAUACAUAUUGGAGUUCCAGGUCUAGCUACCUCAGUGAGGGACUGUGGCUUGGUUGGCUAAUCUUCUUUAAAUAUUUUUAGGAGGUUGCCUUGUCACCAUAUUCCUGGAAUGUUCUUGCACUUUUCAUCUCAGGGGUGAGACUGUCUAGUUCUUAUAUGAAAUAUGGAUAUGAUAAAGAGUGAAAAUGCAUCUGAGUAGCUCAAGUAGUAGACUAUAUUGGAUACAAUUUAUGGGCCUGUAAUCUGUUCUCUCAUGACGAGAGCCCUGCUCAUUUUUUCUGUUGCCUUGACUCCUAGGAUCUCCAACUGUUGCACCUUUCUUCAAAGAUACGGGCUUCUACAAGGUUUUCAUCAUAGCUACUACAACAGGAGGUCCAGUAGCUCUGGGCUCAAUGCCAAAGCAACCAGAUCCAUGGAGUCUCUGGCCUCUACGUGGCUAACCAGAAGGCUUGGCAAAUUCAGGCUGGAAAUACAGAACAUGUAAUAGUUUGUCGGACAACUUUUAACCCAAUAUGGACAAGAUAUGGGAAGAAGCACACAAUCUUUUCUAGGACACAUCAUUUUAAGGGAAGAUGGGAGAGAUAUGAAGAAGCAGCUGUGGAGAUGCAACGCUGGACAUGAAAUGGGUGUGGAAGACAACGGAAAGCCAGUUGGUCAAGACCCUUGGGAAGAAAAGAAUCUUUAAAAGGUCUCUGUUAGCGUGGGACUAAAUUGUAAUCAGACAUUGUGAAUAAGAUGAAAUACUAAAGAAAGAAAGAAAGAAAAAUAUAGGGCACAUACAGAACUGAUCAAGAAGGGAUUAUCAAGAGACAAUUACUCAACUACCCAUUUGCAAGUGAGCAUAUUCUCACCCAACACUGUUUUCAGUUAUGAUUGAAUGGAAGCUCUAAUUGAAUAGUUCUUUGUGGUGUUCAAAGUCCAAGACAGCAAGUUGUUCUUUUGUAUGGGUUCAUAAGUUUUCCCAGAAUGAACUGUAAAACACUCAUGAUUUCCCUGAACUGUGGCAAAGUGACUUACCCAGUUUCUGGCAAAUUUAUUAAGCAAUACAGACUCCCUGCUUAAUCCAUUGGUUUAAACAAUAUUCAGUUAACACAAAUUAGUGAAUAAGCAGAGACAUAGGUCAGCUGAUCGAAGAAAGAUGUAAAAGUAAAUUAAAAUAAAAUUUAUUUGAAAACAGCAAUGGGUCAGAGCUAAAGCCCAGUACAAGUUAGAACAAAUAAAAACCCAUUAAUCUGAAAAACCUUCUUGGGUUUACAAGAAGGCUUUUCUGAUCUCAGGCUGUAUUUAUCCUCUAGAUGGAAAAAAAAGAGGAGCAAUAAAUCUCUUCAUAUCAAAGGCCUGUUCAGCAGAAAUGAAUUGAAAGUGUUGGGUCAAUUAGACUGAACUAGAUCUCCCCCAGGCAAACCUACUAUCGAUACAUAUUUAGCUUCCAGACACCUUUAAAGGCAGCCUGGGAAAGGCUGGCUAGCAAAGAAAAAAAAAGAUAAUUCUAAAAUUUGAGUUCCCUUUGAACUCCAUCCACUACAGCAAUAAAAAGAGCUGUUUCUGCUCUAUUGCAUUUUGUUGAAACAAAAAAAAAAUAGACUGGAGAAAUGAAUAAGCUCGGCAUAUUAUGUAGAUAAAAUGGUAUUAUGGCAAGAGAAUGAAGAACAAAGAGCUAAGAACCAGAUUCCUGUCGCAGCUCUGCUCUCAUAGCUGUGUGACUUCUGGUCAGUCCUUAGACUUUGAAAUCUAUAGGCUACAUGUCUGGAAAUAAGAGGAUAACAGAUUAUUCUUAAGUUUCUCUGUGAUUCAAAAAUAUCUAUGAAUCUAAAGGAAGGAAGACAGUUAUGUGGAUUGGUUAUUGGAAAAGAAUCUAAAGUAAUUGUUUCAUGUAUGCAUAAAAGGGAAGAUCCAGCUAUAAAUUGUCAAGAUAUCUUCAAAAACACCUUUUAUUAUUGAAAGCUACAAAGAGGACAAAUAGUCAAAUAAAUUUUUGUAGGAACACUCAUAAAUAAUAUUUACUAGUAUCUAGUGAGCAUUUACUAUUUGAAUUACUUUUGUAGAAAGUCUUAUUUAGUCCAAUACAAUCCUUUGAGAUAGAUGCCGUUUUAUAUAAAUUUUAUACAUAAGUCAACUGAGAUACCAUUAUAGACUCAGAAUGUUCUAAGAGGCAAACCAGGAUUUAGUCUCGUACUGUUCAAACUCUACUAAUCACUGUGUAAUUAUAAGCACUCUUCUAGAUCACCAUUUGUAGAUGGCAUAGUAAAGUAAAGACAUCUUCAGCUUGUGCUUCAAGCCAGAACAUACACUGUCACAUUUAAAACUCCAGUGUCUCUGUGAUGGGCUUAUUUGUAUUAUUCCUCUUCCUUUGGUCUAAGUGAAAAUACUUUUUCUUAAUUUCCUGAGACAAUCUGAGAAAAUGAAUCUAGUGAAAAUGCUAGAGUAACUCAUUGGAUUUGAGCGCUCCAACCAUUGAAAUACUAUGGUAUCAACUGGACUAAGAAUCAGAGGACCUCUAUUCAAGGCCUUUCUUUACUAAUUGUGAGUGGGACCUCGAGCAAAUUUCUCACCACUCUAAACAUCAGUUUCCCAACUAUAAAACAGAACUUUUCUCGCUAAUAUUACAAUGUUAAAGAGGUAAAAUAGAAAAAAGAAGGACUUUGGAUCUAGAGGAGCCUAGAUGGGAAUUUUGUGAGGAGUCAUGUGACCUUGUACAAAUUACUCAAACGUUUCUGAGUCUCAUGUUCUUUGUCUGAGUAAUGGUGAUGAUAAUAGUGAUAUGGACAGUAGGCAGCGAAAUACUGGGCAGAAGAGAGCAGUGCCCCAGCAAAGGCCCCACCCUCAAGCCUGGAAACCCGCAGCCCUAAAUGGGAACAAGCAUUCCUGUUUUCAUGCCCAAAUGUUGUCUUUUGGCCCACCAUGUCCCCCACUAUCUUGUACCCAUAUAAACUCCAAACCUCAGGCUCCACGAGCAGAGGAACAGCAGAGCGGCAGAGCAGCAGGGCAGCACAGCAGUGCAGCAGAGAAGGAGAGAAAAGGAGUAUAUGAACGUUAGGAGGAGUUCGGCUGGGGAUGGUCAGAGAGGAGACUGGCCACAGGAUGGCCGAACUCCAGGGGAAGAUCAUCUUCCCACUAAAUCCCCUUUCCAGCUCCCCAUCCAUCCCACUGAGAGCCACCUCCACCACUCAAUAAAAUCCCUGCAUUCACCAUCCUUUAAUUCCGAGUGACCUGAUUCUUCCUGGGUACUGAAAAAGGGGCCAGGUACCAAGAAGGCAGGGUGUAAAAGACUGUGACCCUGACUCUCCACUGAGCUUGUUUAACACUUAGCCACCCACGGACAGCAACUGCUAAAAGAGUAUUAAUUGUAACACACCUCUAGAUGCUUCCGUGGGGCCAGAGCCCAAAAGCACUUGCCCUGGCUCCUGCACCUGCCCAUCUGUGUGCUUCCCCUCUUGUAAGGGAUUUGAGCACCCAGCAGCCAAAUAAACAAGCCACACCCCUAUGAGGGGGUCAGGGAACUCACCCAUUUAAAUAGUAACAACUUCACAAGGCUAAAGUAUAGAUUAAAUUAGAGAACUUUCCUCAAAUGUAGUAGUUUAACCCACAAUAAUGGAAAACAAAUAACUAGAAGAGACUCUGAACAUUGGUGAACCAUUCUGUUUUAAAUAUAAUGUAUACCCACAAAUUGUCUUUUGGGCAUGUAUGUUUUCUUGUAUAUUUGUUCGUUUAUCUCCAGCAAUAGAGAUGAAUUUGUGCUGAGACACUAAUUUUCUUUCUCCUUACCUUCUUUUCUCUUCUCCUUUUCUUUUGUGUGGCAAAAAUAAUGCAUUAUUUUAAAAAAUACUGCUGGCAAGUGUCCUUCCCAGUCCACAUGGGGGCUAACCCCUCCUCAACCUUACUAAAAGGGUGGGCUCCAAAAACUAAUUAGUCGUGUACAGUAAAAAUAAGAAAAUUACACUAUUUAAAUUGACGGUUUGUUUAAAAAUGUUUUGCAAAUUCACGUUUUGUUAAAAUGUCUAACUAUAUAUGUAAUUUACAUAACCUAUGGAAUCAAGAAAAGAAUAUCCCUUUCAGAUAUGUUAAAUGGAAUGAACAAAUAUGUACAUCGCUAUUAUAUGUGCCACAUUCUCUUUCACCCAGAUGCCAUCUAUAAAAAGCUCAGAAAUGAACGGUAAUUUAAACUAUAAAUCUAUAUUUAACACACUAUAAAUGAGUAGACUAGUGUGUAUAAUAUUUUGCUUCUAUCCCCCUUUGAAUUAAUCUAGUUCUUACUCUAUAUAAAUAUCUACUUGUUGUGUUCUUUUCAUUUCAUCAGGUGAGAAAGACUGAAAAUGAAAGGCCCUUAAAUGAGAAAGGUAAUAUGGAAAAUAAAAUGGAUAUCUCAGCCCUGUCAUUCAAGUAUCCCUAGUGCAAACAUGUAAUUUUGUAAUUUAUUGUCCAAAGAGGAUACUUUUGAAAUGGAAAGGGGCACUAUAAAUAAUUGUACCAGGAAAAUAGGAGGAAACCAGUGUUUCUCAAAUAAAUUGAGAUAUAUGGUUGACAGGUCACUUAAGUUGUGUCAUUUUAACUUCCAAAACACUUUCUGCCUGUUCAAAAUAAAUCCAAAAGGUACCCUGCCUCCCAGCCCCUUUGACAGUCUCUGCUGCUCCACCAUCAAGUGACUUUUCCCCCUGGAUUGCUACAAUAGCCUCACAGGAGCCUCUUAGCUUCCACCCUGGCCCUCCCCACUUCUCCAACUCUCCAGUCAAUUUUCUGUAUAGCAACAAAAGAUAUACUUUUACAGCAGUGGUUCUCAACUGGAAGAGGUUUUGUCCCCUGUCUUGUGACACAUGGCAAUGCCUGGAGAUAAUAUUGAUUGUCACACCUAGGAGGCUGCUACCAGCAUCUAGCAGGGAGAGGCCAGGGAUGCGGCAAAACAUCCUACACUGCCAUGUGACAGCGCCCAUAACAAAAAAGUACCUAAUCC